This 67-nucleotide transfer RNA is filed under the name Marmota monax (woodchuck). RNAcentral describes it as "tRNA.Ala". The record is from RNAcentral. Lineage: Eukaryota; Metazoa; Chordata; Mammalia; Rodentia; Sciuridae.
GGUUGUGGCUCAGCAGUAGAGUGCUUGCCUAGCAUAUAUGAGGUGCUGGGUUCGAUCCUCAGCACCA